RNAcentral lists this ribosomal RNA (671 nucleotides) under Lactiplantibacillus plantarum. RNAcentral describes it as "bacterial SSU rRNA". It matches the Rfam family "Bacterial small subunit ribosomal RNA", at positions 112 to 769 of the family's 1533-position model. The record is from RNAcentral. Lineage: Bacteria; Bacillati; Bacillota; Bacilli; Lactobacillales; Lactobacillaceae.
AACACGUGGGAAACCUGCCCAGAAGCGGGGGAUAACACCUGGAAACAGAUGCUAAUACCGCAUAACAACUUGGACCGCAUGGUCCGAGUUUGAAAGAUGGCUUCGGCUAUCACUUUUGGAUGGUCCCGCGGCGUAUUAGCUAGAUGGUGGGGUAACGGCUCACCAUGGCAAUGAUACGUAGCCGACCUGAGAGGGUAAUCGGCCACAUUGGGACUGAGACACGGCCCAAACUCCUACGGGAGGCAGCAGUAGGGAAUCUUCCACAAUGGACGAAAGUCUGAUGGAGCAACGCCGCGUGAGUGAAGAAGGGUUUCGGCUCGUAAAACUCUGUUGUUAAAGAAGAACAUAUCUGAGAGUAACUGUUCAGGUAUUGACGGUAUUUAACCAGAAAGCCACGGCUAACUACGUGCCAGCAGCCGCGGUAAUACGUAGGUGGCAAGCGUUGUCCGGAUUUAUUGGGCGUAAAGCGAGCGCAGGCGGUUUUUUAAGUCUGAUGUGAAAGCCUUCGGCUCAACCGAAGAAGUGCAUCGGAAACUGGGAAACUUGAGUGCAGAAGAGGACAGUGGAACUCCAUGUGUAGCGGUGAAAUGCGUAGAUAUAUGGAAGAGCACCAGUGGCGAACGCGGCUGUCUGGUCUGUAACUGACGCUGAGGCUCGAAAGUAUGGGUAGC